This 443-nucleotide ribosomal RNA is filed under the name uncultured bacterium. RNAcentral's name for it is "partial 16S ribosomal RNA". It matches the Rfam family "Bacterial small subunit ribosomal RNA", at positions 338 to 795 of the family's 1533-position model. The record is from RNAcentral.
CCUACGGGUGGCUGCAGUGGGGAAUAUUGGGCAAUGGGCGCAAGCCUGACCCCGCAACGCCGCGUGAAGGAAGAAGGCCCUCGGGUUGUAAACUUCUUUUAUUCGGGACGAAACAAAUGACGGUACCUAAUGACUAAGCCACGGCUAACUACGUGCAAGCAGCCGCGGUAAGACGGAGUUGGCAAGCGUUAUCCGGAUUUACUGGGUGGAAAGGGCGUGGAGGCGGGAGAGCAAGACAGACGUGAAGUUCCAGGGCUCAACCGUGGAACUGCGUUUGAAACGGUUCGUCUUGAGUGUUGGAGAGGCAGGCGGAAUUCCGUGUGUAGCGGUGAAAUGCGUAGAUAUACGGAGGAACACCAGUGGCGAAGGCGGCCUGCUGGACAGUAACUGACGCUGAGGCGCGAAAGCGUGGGGAGCAAACAGGAUUAGAUACCCCUGUAGUC